Molecule: ribosomal RNA, 253 nt
Filed under: uncultured bacterium
Lineage: Bacteria
Description: partial 16S ribosomal RNA
Rfam family: Bacterial small subunit ribosomal RNA
Source: RNAcentral
UACAGAGGUCCCGAGCGUUGUUCGGAUUCACUGGGCGUAAAGGGUGCGUAGGUGGUGGGAUAAGUCGGAUGUGAAAUCUCGGAGCUCAACUCCGAAACUGCAUUGGAAACUGUCGUGCUAGAGGUUUGGAGGGGGGACUGGAAUACUUGGUGUAGCAGUGAAAUGCGUAGAUAUCAAGUGGAACACCGGUGGCGAAGGCGAGUCCCUGGACAACACCUGACACUGAGGCACGAAAGCUAGGGGAGCAAACAGG